CCUACGGGAGGCAGCAGUGGGGAAUAUUGGACAAUGGGCGAAAGCCUGAUCCAGCCAUGCCGCGUGUGUGAAGAAGGCCUUCGGGUUGUAAAGCACUUUCAGUGGGGAAGAAAGCCUUGGGGCUAAUACCCUCGAGGAAGGACAUCACCCACAGAAGAAGCACCGGCUAACUCCGUGCCAGCAGCCGCGGUAAUACGGAGGGUGCGAGCGUUAAUCGGAAUUACUGGGCGUAAAGCGCGCGUAGGCGGUCUGAUAAGCCGGUUGUGAAAGCCCCGGGCUCAACCUGGGAACGGCAUCCGGAACUGUCAUGCUAGAGUGCAGGAGAGGAAGGUAGAAUUCCCGGUGUAGCGGUGAAAUGCGUAGAGAUCGGGAGGAAUACCAGUGGCGAAGGCGGCCUUCUGGACUGACACUGACGCUGAGGUGCGAAAGCGUGGGUAGCAAACAGGAUUAGCUACCCCAGUAGUC
RNAcentral lists this ribosomal RNA (465 nucleotides) under Vreelandella stevensii. Its description in RNAcentral is "partial 16S ribosomal RNA". It matches the Rfam family "Bacterial small subunit ribosomal RNA", at positions 338 to 795 of the family's 1533-position model. Lineage: Bacteria; Pseudomonadati; Pseudomonadota; Gammaproteobacteria; Oceanospirillales; Halomonadaceae. The record is from RNAcentral.